UGUUUCACUGUUCUCGCCGCACUUCAAACUUCCUCCCAUCUUCCUCCGCUUUUCAAUAACCCACAAAGAACCCCAACUCCAUGGAAUUCAUCCGCCGGGCGGCCGGGGGAAGAGAGUAAGGGAGAGAUGACAUCGCGGCCCCGCGGCGUUGGAGAGGCGAUGAUGUUGGGGCAAAUGGCGCUUCGCUCGGAGAUCUACGGCGCCGCCGCUUCCCCUCCGACGCUCUCAUGGCGGAUCCAGAGGAGUCUUUCAAGGAGAGAAAUUGGGAUUUUUUUCCUGUUCUUCGUCUCGGCCGCUGCCUUCUUCGCGCCUUGUUUGCACCAAAGAAAAGCUUGUCCUCAUUGCUAUGCCCCUGUGGAGCUGAUGAUGGAAUUUAGGCCAACUUCACCAUACAUAUUGCCUGUCAUUAAGGAUCUAAAUUACAUCAUUGGAGAAAACUCCAUCAAAACUGAAUCAGAAAGAGACUGAUUUUGGUGGACAUCUAUCUCUGCAGCAGAGAAAUGAGUCCUUUGAUAUAAACGAGUCAAUGACCGUGCAUGAUUUGUCAAGGGAAAGAAACCUGGAUGCAGUACUCUGUUUGACAUUAAUCAUGCCGGUCUUCUUGAGAUGGUGGAAUGUCAUGGAAUGGUUGUUGCCUCAGCUACAUUAAGUACAAGUUAUUCUGCAUUUAUUCUUCUUCCAGACCCUGCUCACCUUCCUUCUUAAUGCUAAAUGAAAGUUUGCCCUCA
Molecule: non-coding RNA, 728 nt
Organism: Elaeis guineensis (African oil palm)
Lineage: Eukaryota; Viridiplantae; Streptophyta; Magnoliopsida; Arecales; Arecaceae
Source: RefSeq, a predicted model, not a curated record